RNAcentral lists this long non-coding RNA (354 nucleotides) under Marmota monax (woodchuck). Lineage: Eukaryota; Metazoa; Chordata; Mammalia; Rodentia; Sciuridae. The record is from RNAcentral.
UGGGGACUCUGUACUAUCUUCCCAACUUUUCUAUAAAUUUAAAAUUGAAAGGUUAUUUUAAGUCCACUAGAGAAGAUUAAUAAAGAUCACUGAGUGAGAAACUACAGAAGUGAUCCACUGCGAUGCAUAGAGAGGGGAGGUUGAAAAAUCAGUGUUGUUGGGGUGGUGUCAUGCAGUCUAAAGACAGCUGAGGUUCCAGAAGCAGGAGGAGGAGCAUGUUUGUAGAAAGAAUGGCCAGAAAUUUUCUGUGGUACUGGAAAUCAAACUCAAAGCCUUGUGCAUACCCAGCAAGUACUCUACCACUAAGUUGCCUCCCCAGCUUUUUUUAUUAUAUUUUGAGACCCAGUUGCUAUG